Molecule: small nucleolar RNA, 80 nt
Organism: Heteronotia binoei (common prickly gecko)
Lineage: Eukaryota; Metazoa; Chordata; Lepidosauria; Squamata; Gekkonidae
Source: RefSeq, a predicted model, not a curated record
UUGCAAUGAUGUUUGAAUUUCUUCACCUGAAAAAUACCCAUGAAGAGCAAAAUGAUACGAGCUUUUUAACCCUGAGCAGU